Molecule: transfer RNA, 59 nt
Filed under: Cordylochernes scorpioides
Lineage: Eukaryota; Metazoa; Arthropoda; Arachnida; Pseudoscorpiones; Chernetidae
Description: tRNA-Ala
Source: RNAcentral
UGCAUCGGCCGGGAAGCGAACCUUGGCAGUCAAGCAUUCUACCACUGAACCACCGAUGC